Molecule: ribosomal RNA, 574 nt
Filed under: Scinax fuscomarginatus (brown-bordered snouted treefrog)
Lineage: Eukaryota; Metazoa; Chordata; Amphibia; Anura; Hylidae
Description: partial 16S ribosomal RNA
Rfam family: Bacterial large subunit ribosomal RNA
Source: RNAcentral
CGCCUCUUGAACAAAAAUAAGAGGUCCAGCCUGCCCAGUGACUAAUAUUCAACGGCCGCGGUAUCCUAACCGUGCGAAGGUAGCGCAAUCACUUGUUCUUUAAAUGGGGACUAGUAUGAAUGGCAUCACGAGGGUUAUACUGUCUCCUUUUUCUAAUCAGUGAAUCUAAUCUCCCCGUGAAGAAACGGGGAUACACCUACAAGACGAGAAGACCCUAUGGAGCUUUAAAUACCUCUUCAAACGUUGGACCUCCUCCCCAGUUUUAAACUCACCUAUAUUAACCCCGUACGCUAUGAAGACAACUUUAGGUUGGGGUGACCGCGGAGUACAACAUAACCUCCACGCUGAAUCAGACUCUUUAAGUCUGAACCAAGAGCCACUGCUCAAAGCACUAAGAAAUUAACAUCUAUUGACCCAAAACAUUUGAUCAACGAACCAAGUUACCCUAGGGAUAACAGCGCAAUCCAUUUCAAGAGUCCAUAUCGACAAAUGGGUUUACGACCUCGAUGUUGGAUCAGGGUAUCCCAGUGGUGCAGCCGCUACUAAUGGUUCGUUUGUUCAACGAUUAAAACCC